This is an RNA transcript of Myxocyprinus asiaticus (Chinese sucker), 2305 nucleotides long. It is a transcript of the gene named ataxin-10-like, with no coding region annotated. NCBI's taxonomy places the organism in Eukaryota, Metazoa, Chordata, Actinopteri, Cypriniformes, Catostomidae. The transcript has 11 exons. The record is from RefSeq and is a predicted model, not a curated record.
UGUUCAGAGUCGCGCGUGGAGUGUGUUGAUGGCAUGUCACAGUGACAGCAUGCAGAAUAUAAACCUCGCGCUCACUGAAAUGUUCACGGAGAAAUUAAUACAUACUCAUCUCACAGCUCUGCAAACUGUGACGAAAGCGUUACGAGAUGAACAGUUCAGAGCCAGUGUUGAGGGGGAUUUUAUUGGAAACCUCUUUGCCGUGCUGUCAAGACUCUCUGUGGAUAUUCAGCACUUGAGUGACGGGGAAGAUCUACUGGAGAAAGAUGUGUCAUUGUGCCUUAAACUCACCGCAGAGUGUUUCAGAGCGCACAGGAAUGCCUGUGUUCAGUGCACUCAAAAUCAGUGCAGCCUGAGAGAUCUCGGCUCCAUCAAGGUAUCUUUUGAGAUUUUGUGCAAACUCCUGAAGCUUUCAUCGGGAAGCUCAAAUGACAUUUAUGAUGCACUUCGAUGUGGUAUUCAGUUUCUUGGUAACAUUGCUGUUGGAAACCAGCUCUGCAAAGAUGACAUCUGGGAGCUUGGUUUUCCGCACAUCUUUCGGGACCUUUUGGAGCUCCUAGAUGAGAAAGCUGUUUCAUACACAUGUAUGGUACUCCACACUUGUCUGGAUAAAUGCAAGACAGAGCAGUUAGCUAAAGAUGGACAACAGCUCAAAGUGUCCCUGAAGAUCAUGGACUUGUGCAGGACCUUCCCUGAUGUGGACUGGACGGUUUUGAUUGCCACACAACAUUUUCUCAAGUCUUCAGAGCUCAUUGGGAAGAUGUACUCAGAGAUGACCAAUGAAGAAAGACUCACACUACUGGAGUUAAUAUUAGCACAGCUUGGUGUUGGCGAGGAGGAGAAGGAAUCUUUAAUACCUUUGAGUGCAGCUCAGUUCCUGGCCUCCUGCUUCAACAGUCACUGCCGAGCCGUUCUCAGUCUGAGCUCUCAAUCCUCAGCCGACGACCAGGCGGCAAUGGUUGUUAUCAGGCUUUUGGACAUCCUUUGUGAGAUGACCUCUGGCCGCAAGAAGUUUAUGGCUCUACAAGAUCACUCUGACCUUUUGAGCUCAACAGUCGAUCUCUUGAAAGAGGUCCAUUUACUGGGCAAAACAAGUAAAAAUGUGUUUACUGUGGCGCACGAUUUCUCCUUGACAAGGCCAGGGGGCGCCGACACCCACCCUGUCCUCAGUUUCAAAGCUCAUCUCAUCCGACUCAUUGGAAACCUGUGUCAUGGCCACAUUGUCAACCAGGACAAGUGACUUGUUGGAAUGUGAAGGAAUUUUUGGCAAUAAAUGAUGAAACCAGACACCAUAGAGUUUGCAGCCAACUCUGAAAAUCUUCUGAUCAACGGAUGGCACAGCCCAGUAGUGGUAAACACAUUAACAAUGCUGCAGUUGAGAGCCCUGCUUGCUGUCUGUCAUCCCAGGCCUGGGCUUUUUUGUUUGUGGAAGCUACCUCCUUGAAAACUAAUCAGGGGAUUAAUGCUGGUAGAUAAAGGCUCGAGAAGCAAUCUGGAUUUCAUGCUUGUAUCAUCUCAUUUCUUGCCCAAAUCUUUUUCCACUUUGUACUCUCUCUCCUUUUUUCUUUUAAUGAAUUCCCUUGUAAGCAACCCCCUGCGAUGGAGGGAUUUUCUGCCUUUCAGGUUUGUCCCCUUCAAUCAGCAAAGAGAGCCUGGUACCAGCCUUCUUAAAUAGGGUCUAGGCACAUAACUGAGAGGUCAAAGGUCAAAAAACAAUAGCCAGUCUCCCCCAGCCUGUACCCUCACUUUUUGACCAAUCUGCUUGUGUAGAUGGCCAAACAGGAUGGCUUCUUAUUUCUCUGGCCGAAGUGGAUGAUUACAGAAAUUUCCAUUUAGUUUUAUAGCUAGAAUUACUUUCUCAAUCAAACUACAUGCUAGCCAUUAACACGUGUCUCCUCUUUCCCAGUCAGUGCUUUAAAUUAACUGAGACGGUUAAUUGCAAACCACUGUACGUCUUGGGUUACAACACGUGAUUAGGGUAAUGUAUAGUUAUAACCUGUAAGUGACAAACCAGCCCAAACCUACAGUAUAUGACUGUAUAUGACACAGCUCAACCGCAUGCACCGUGGAAAGUAAUUGUUUUUUGAUCAUUGGUGUUCCUCAAAUGGACCAUUUCUUUUGUGAUGUGAAUUUAUUUUUUAUUUUUUAUUUUAUUGUAGGUAAGAGAACUGGAUGGAAUAGCUCUCAUUCUGGACAACUGCAGCAUCGACAGCAAUAACCCUUUUAUAAGCCAGUGGGCCGUGUUUGCAAUUCGGAUCCUUCUGGAACACAACCCUGAGAAUCAGACAUUGAUACAAGGCCUUCGGAG